GUACUCGCUUCGGCAGCACAUAUACUAAAAUCGUAAUGCUACAGAGAAGAUCAGUGUGGCCCCUGAGCAAGGAUGACACACAAAUUCACGAAACAUUCCAUAUUUUU
Molecule: small nuclear RNA, 107 nt
Filed under: Dasypus novemcinctus (nine-banded armadillo)
Lineage: Eukaryota; Metazoa; Chordata; Mammalia; Cingulata; Dasypodidae
Source: RNAcentral